RNAcentral lists this ribosomal RNA (198 nucleotides) under Triticum aestivum (bread wheat). RNAcentral describes it as "partial small subunit ribosomal RNA". Lineage: Eukaryota; Viridiplantae; Streptophyta; Magnoliopsida; Poales; Poaceae. The record is from RNAcentral.
AUGCAUGCGUCACCUUGCUGUAAAUUUCAUGAAGAAAUUCAAAGGAAGGGUGUAUACCGACAAUUUAUGGCCAGCAUCUUUGACUUGCAGUGUGAAGAAGCUCAACUACCACUUGAGGCAGUUAUACAUGAAUCCCAAAGUGAAAGAAUACUUGGAAACACACCACUCCAAGUUAUGGGCCAGAAGCCAAUUCAGUGA